Molecule: ribosomal RNA, 458 nt
Filed under: uncultured bacterium
Lineage: Bacteria
Description: partial 16S ribosomal RNA
Rfam family: Bacterial small subunit ribosomal RNA
Source: RNAcentral
CCUACGGGAGGCAGCAGUGAGGAAUAUUGGUCAAUGGGCGAGAGCCUGAACCAGCCAAGUCGCGUGAGGGAGUACUGCCCUAUGGGUUGUAAACCUCUUUUGUCGGGGAGCAAAAGCCGGACGUGUCCGGCUGUGAGAGUACCCGAAGAAAAAGCAUCGGCUAACUCCGUGCCAGCAGCCGCGGUAAUACGGAGGAUGCGAGCGUUAUCGGGAUUUAGUGGGUUUAAAGGGUGCGCAGGCGGAUCUUUAAGGCAGCGGUCAAAUCGUGGGGCUCAACCCCAUCCAGCCGUUGAAACUGGGGAUCUAGAGUGUGCGAGAGGUAUGCGGAAUGCGUGGUGUAGCGGUGGAAUGCAUAGAUAGCACGCAGAACCCCGAUUGCGAAGGCAGCAUACCGGUGCACAACUGACGCUCAGGCACGAAAGCGUGGGUAUCGAACAGGAUUAGAUACCCUAGUAGUC